Notolabrus celidotus (New Zealand spotty) is the source of this 1024-nucleotide long non-coding RNA. RefSeq lists it as uncharacterized. Lineage: Eukaryota; Metazoa; Chordata; Actinopteri; Labriformes; Labridae. The record is from RefSeq and is a predicted model, not a curated record. The transcript has 2 exons.
GGUUACAGUGCAUAAAAUACAAUGUUAAAAGUAUAAUAAAUAGUUGUAUUAAAAGUUCAUAAUAUGUUCAAAAGAAGAGUCAUAAGAUUUAAAACUGUUUAAAAUAAGUGUUGUAAAAAGGGAAUAAAUAUAAUACUUUCAGUUUAAUAUAUUUGACUAUUUACAGUUAAAAGAUAAAGUAUUUACAAAGGUCUUAAGUUUAUUUAAAACAUUUGUGAUUAGGAAAGAAGGAGAGAUGAAGAAGCAGUUUAGUUUCUGUGUGUAAUCUAACUUGAUACCUGUCUUAUGUCAAUCAUUCCAUUCUUGUGUUGUGUUUGGUUGUUAUCAACCUCACGAGCCAAUCAGAGUACACCAUUUACGUAAGGGGCGGGACUAGUGGUGCAGGUUAGUGUGGGGUGAAGGUGAACAUGCAGCAUGAGAGACGCAGACGCUAUCGAUCAGAGAGCUGAGACGGAGAUAUUCUGAGUGGGGAGCAGUUAAGUUUUAUCGUGAAGGUCGACUACUCGUGGUCCUGAUUUAAACUUCUGUGACCUGCAAGAGGGCGGACGUUGGAGAGAGAGGUCGAGACGGGUUUUUCCAACAGACGGCCCUGCUGUUUUCCUACGUCUUCUUUGAACUUCGCCAUUGUGCGCCAUUGCCCUCGUGAGACUGCAUUGUUUGUCCCCACCUAUCCAUACUAAUCCAACUGGGAGUUUGUGAGUACUAACUGAACAUUGUGCACGUGCUUUUUAUUUUAAGCUCAGUUGAGUGAAGCGGCCAUCACCGUUUUAGGCCACACCGCACCCAAGCUACAUUCAACAGGCCUGCAACGGGUUAAGGUUUUGAAUACCAGGUUGUUUUAAUGUUGUGUGUUUCAUGUGAGUGUGUGUGGGCCCACAGGUAAAUGUUUAUUGAUGUAUUAGUGUUGGAAAUUAACAGAGAACUGUUGAAUAUAACUCAAGUAUUUUAUAUAUUUGUUAUUGUUGUUUUUUACCUUUUAUUUCAUUUUGUAUAAAUAAAUACCUCUGAAGGUUUUGCAUUUAAA